This 59-nucleotide transfer RNA is filed under the name Hymenophyllum digitatum. RNAcentral describes it as "partial tRNA-Leu". The record is from RNAcentral. Lineage: Eukaryota; Viridiplantae; Streptophyta; Polypodiopsida; Hymenophyllales; Hymenophyllaceae.
AUUCAAAAUCGGGUGCUAGAAUAAAAAGAAGUAGAGAGGUUCGAAUCCUCUUCGAGGCA